RNAcentral lists this ribosomal RNA (497 nucleotides) under uncultured bacterium. Its description in RNAcentral is "partial 16S ribosomal RNA". It matches the Rfam family "Bacterial small subunit ribosomal RNA", at positions 28 to 507 of the family's 1533-position model. The record is from RNAcentral.
GACGAACGCUGGCGGCGUGCCUAAUACAUGCAAGUCGAACGCUGAAGAGAGGAGCUUGCUCUUCUUGGAUGAGUUGCGAACGGGUGAGUAACGCGUAGGUAACCUGCCUUGUAGCGGGGGAUAACUAUUGGAAACGAUAGCUAAUACCGCAUAACAAUGGAUGACACAUGUCAUUUAUUUGAAAGGGGCAAUUGCUCCACUACAAGAUGGACCUGCGUUGUAUUAGCUAGUAGGUGAGGUAACGGCUCACCUAGGCGACGAUACAUAGCCGACCUGAGAGGGUGAUCGGCCACACUGGGACUGAGACACGGCCCAGACUCCUACGGGAGGCAGCAGUAGGGAAUCUUCGGCAAUGGGGGCAACACUGACCGAGCAACGCCGCGUGAGUGAAGAAGGUUUUCGGAUCGUAAAGCUCUGUUGUAAGUCAAGAACGAGUGUGAGAGUGGAAAGUUCACACUGUGACGGUAGCUUACCAGAAAGGGACGGCUAACUACGUG